UACGAAGGGGGCUAGCGUUGCUCGGAAUCACUGGGCGUAAAGGGUGCGUAGGCGGGUCUUUAAGUCAGGGGUGAAAUCCUGGAGCUCAACUCCAGAACUGCCUUUGAUACUGAAGAUCUUGAGUGCGGGAGAGGUGAGUGGAACUGCGAGUGUAGAGGUGAAAUUUGUAGAUAUUCGCAAGAACACCAGUGGCGAAGGCGGCUCACUGGCCCGAUACUGACGCUGAGGCACGAAGGCGUGGGGAGCAAACAGG
RNAcentral lists this ribosomal RNA (253 nucleotides) under uncultured bacterium. Its description in RNAcentral is "partial 16S ribosomal RNA". It matches the Rfam family "Bacterial small subunit ribosomal RNA", at positions 524 to 776 of the family's 1533-position model. The record is from RNAcentral.